GACGGUCUUGCUGUCACUUAUAGAUGGAUCCGCGCUGCAUUAGCUAGUUGGUAAGGUAACGGCUUACCAAGGCAACGAUGCAUAGCCGACCUGAGAGGGUGAUCGGCCACACUGGAACUGAGACACGGUCCAGACUCCUACGGGAGGCAGCAGUAGGGAAUCUUCCGCAAUGGGCGAAAGCCUGACGGAGCAACGCCGCGUGAGUGAUGAAGGUCUUCGGAUCGUAAAACUCUGUUAUUAGGGAAGAACAUAUGUGUAAGUAACUGUGCACAUCUUGACGGUACCUAAUCAGAAAGCCACGGCUAACUACGUGCCAGCAGCCGCGGUAAUACGUAGGUGGCAAGCGUUAUCCGGAAUUAUUGGGCGUAAAGCGCGCGUAGGCGGUUUUUUAAGUCUGAUGUGAAAG
Molecule: ribosomal RNA, 406 nt
Filed under: Staphylococcus aureus
Lineage: Bacteria; Bacillati; Bacillota; Bacilli; Caryophanales; Staphylococcaceae
Description: bacterial SSU rRNA
Rfam family: Bacterial small subunit ribosomal RNA
Source: RNAcentral